CUAUAUCUACCCUGUAGAUCCGGAUUUGUGUCCAAAUGUCUAACAGCAUCACAAAUUCGCUUCUAGGGGAGUAUAUAGU
RNAcentral lists this microRNA precursor (79 nucleotides) under Xiphophorus maculatus (southern platyfish). RNAcentral describes it as "mir-10 microRNA precursor family". It matches the Rfam family "mir-10 microRNA precursor family". Rfam says of the family: In this case the mature sequence comes from the 5' arm of the precursor. The extents of the hairpin precursors are not generally known and are estimated based on hairpin prediction. The products are thought to have regulatory roles through complementarity to mRNA. The record is from Rfam by way of RNAcentral. Lineage: Eukaryota; Metazoa; Chordata; Actinopteri; Cyprinodontiformes; Poeciliidae.